RNAcentral lists this non-coding RNA (94 nucleotides) under Bacillus sp. (in: firmicutes). RNAcentral's name for it is "Bacillus sp. Glycine sequence". It matches the Rfam family "Glycine riboswitch aptamer". Rfam says of the family: This family represents the bacterial glycine riboswitch. Glycine riboswitches usually consist of two metabolite-binding aptamers domains with similar structures in tandem. The record is from RNAcentral. Lineage: Bacteria; Bacillati; Bacillota; Bacilli; Caryophanales; Bacillaceae. RNAcentral also lists the same sequence under 1 other name.
AUGAUGGCAAGGGGAGAGACUACAGUUUGUAGCGCCGAAGGAGCAAGCAGCGGGUAUGUGUGAAUCUCUCAGGCAAAAGAACUCUUGCUGGACG